This 391-nucleotide ribosomal RNA is filed under the name uncultured Gammaproteobacteria bacterium. RNAcentral describes it as "bacterial SSU rRNA". It matches the Rfam family "Bacterial small subunit ribosomal RNA", at positions 370 to 779 of the family's 1533-position model. Lineage: Bacteria; Pseudomonadati; Pseudomonadota; Gammaproteobacteria. The record is from RNAcentral.
AAUGCACGAAAGUGUGAAGGAGUGACGCCGCGUGCUAGAUGAAGCCCUUCGGGGUGUAAAUAGCUUUUAUAUGGGAAAAACUUCGAUGGUACCAUAUGAAUAAGGGGCUGCUAACUUCGUGCCAGCAGCAGCGGUAAUACGAGGGCCCCAAGCAUUAUCCGGAUUUAUUGGGCGUAUAGCGUUAAAAGGUGGUUCUUCAAGUCGGUUGUUAAAUCCUGGGGCUCAACCUCAGGGCUGCAUCCGAAACUGUUGAACUAGAGGACGGAAGAGGACAGCGGAAUUGCUGGUGUAGCAGUAAAAUGCGUUAAUAUCAGCAGGAACACCAAUUGCGUAGGCAGCUGUCUGGUACGUUUCUGACACUACUACGAAAGCGUGGGUAGCGAAUGGGAUU